RNAcentral lists this ribosomal RNA (322 nucleotides) under Acinetobacter baumannii 25878_1. Its description in RNAcentral is "partial 23S ribosomal RNA". Lineage: Bacteria; Pseudomonadati; Pseudomonadota; Gammaproteobacteria; Moraxellales; Moraxellaceae. The record is from RNAcentral.
AAAUAAUGUCAUAAUAAUUGUUUUCUAACGACGAAUACUAUGACACAUCUCAAUGAGUUAUAUCUUAUCUUAAACAAAUCUCUAAAAUGGAACAAGUCACAUUUAAAGUGCUUUGCGCUCAUCAUGCUUGUGAUUAUUUUAAAGCAAACAUGUAAUCUUUCUUCUGCAUCUAAAGCCUUGCCCAUCAAGUGCUUACCACAAUCAUUUUAUCGACGUAUGCAGCGCUUCUUUGCAGGUCAGUAUUUUGAUUAUCGUCAAAUUUCUCAGUUGAUUUUCAAUAUGUUUUCAUUCGACCAAGUGCAACUGACUUUAGAUAGAACCA